UACGUAGGGUGCAAGCGUUGUCCGGAAUUAUUGGGCGUAAAGAGCUCGUAGGCGGUUCGUCGCGUCGGCUGUGAAAACCCGGAGCUCAACUCCGGGCCUGCAGUCGAUACGGGCGGACUUGAGUGUUGCAGGGGAGACUGGAAUUCCUGGUGUAGCGGUGAAAUGCGCAGAUAUCGGGAAGAACACCCGUGGCGAAGGCGGUUCUCUGGGACGGUACUGACGCUGAGACGCGAAAGCGUGGGGAGCGAACAGG
This 253-nucleotide ribosomal RNA is filed under the name uncultured bacterium. RNAcentral describes it as "partial 16S ribosomal RNA". It matches the Rfam family "Bacterial small subunit ribosomal RNA", at positions 524 to 776 of the family's 1533-position model. The record is from RNAcentral.